Molecule: ribosomal RNA, 442 nt
Filed under: uncultured bacterium
Lineage: Bacteria
Description: partial 16S ribosomal RNA
Rfam family: Bacterial small subunit ribosomal RNA
Source: RNAcentral
CCUACGGGAGGCAGCAGUGGGGGAUAUUGGACAAUGGGGGGAACCCUGAUCCAGCGACGCCGCGUGAGUGAAGAAGUAUUUCGGUAUGUAAAGCUCUGUCAGCACGGAAGAAAACAAUGACGGUACCUGACCAAGAAGCCCCGGCUAACUACGUGCCAGCAGCCGCGGUAAUACGGCGGAUGCGAGCGUUAUCCGGAUUUAUUGGGUUUAAAGGGUGCGUAGGCGGGUUAUCAAGUCAGCGGGAAAAUCGUGGAGCUAAACUCCAUCCAGCCGUUGACACUGAUGAUCUUGCGUGGGCGAGAAGUAUGCGGAAUGCGUGGUGUAGCGGUGAAAUGCAUAGAGAUCACGCAGAACUCCGAUUGCGAAGGCAGCAUACCGGCGCCCGACUGACGCUGAAGCACGAAAGCGUGGGUAUCGAACAGGAUUAGAUACCCCUGUAGUC